RNAcentral lists this ribosomal RNA (438 nucleotides) under uncultured bacterium. RNAcentral describes it as "partial 16S ribosomal RNA". It matches the Rfam family "Bacterial small subunit ribosomal RNA", at positions 339 to 795 of the family's 1533-position model. The record is from RNAcentral.
CUACGGGUCGCACCAGUGAGGAAUAUUGCACAAUGGGGGGAACCCUGAUGCAGCAACGCCGCGUGGAGGAUGACGCAUUUCGGUGUGUAAACUCCUUUUAUAUGUCAAGAAAAUGACGGUAGCAUAUGAAUAAGCACCGGCUAACUCCGUGCCAGCAGCCGCGGUAAUACGGAGGGUGCAAGCGUUACUCGGAAUCACUGGGCGUAAAGGACGCGUAGGCGGGUUGGAAAGUCAGGUGUGAAAUCCUACAGCUUAACUGUAGAACUGCACUUGAAACUUCUAAUCUAGAGUAUGGGAGGGGGAGAUGGAAUUAGUGGUGUAGGGGUAACAUCCGUAGAUAUCACUAGGAAUACCUAAAGCGAAGGCGAUCUCCUGGAACAUUACUGACGCUAAGGCGUGAAAGCGUGGGGAGCAAACAGGAUUAGUACCCCCGUAGUC